RNAcentral lists this ribosomal RNA (253 nucleotides) under uncultured bacterium. RNAcentral describes it as "partial 16S ribosomal RNA". It matches the Rfam family "Bacterial small subunit ribosomal RNA", at positions 524 to 776 of the family's 1533-position model. The record is from RNAcentral.
UACAGAGGGGGCAAGCGUUGUUCGGAAUUACUGGGCGUAAAGGGCGCGUAGGCGGCCUGCUAAGUCGAACGUGAAAUCCCCGGGCUCAACCCGGGAACUGCGUCCGAUACUGGCAGGCUUGAAUCCGGGAGAGGGAUGUGGAAUUCCAGGUGUAGCGGUGAAAUGCGUAGAUAUCUGGAGGAACACCGGUGGCGAAGGCGGCAUCCUGGACCGGUAUUGACGCUGAGGCGCGAAAGCUAGGGGAGCAAACGGG